RNAcentral lists this ribosomal RNA (241 nucleotides) under uncultured bacterium. Its description in RNAcentral is "partial 16S ribosomal RNA". It matches the Rfam family "Bacterial small subunit ribosomal RNA", at positions 15 to 252 of the family's 1533-position model. The record is from RNAcentral.
GAUCAUGGCUCAGAUUGAACGCUGGCGGCAGGCCUAACACAUGCAAGUCGAACGGUAACAGGAAGAAGCUUGCUUCUUUGCUGACGAGUGGCGGACGGGUGAGUAAUGUCUGGGAAACUGCCUGAUGGAGGGGGAUAACUACUGGAAACGGUAGCUAAUACCGCAUAACGUCGCAAGACCAAAGAGGGGGACCUUCGGCCGUCUUGCCAUCGGAUGUGCCCAGAUGGAGUUAGCUUGUUGG